Molecule: long non-coding RNA, 423 nt
Filed under: Gossypium raimondii (Peruvian cotton)
Lineage: Eukaryota; Viridiplantae; Streptophyta; Magnoliopsida; Malvales; Malvaceae
Description: long non-coding RNA (GRAI_LNC001592)
Source: RNAcentral
AAGGCUUCCACCACCAUUAUCCAAUAAUCCCUCCCAUCUACAAGAAACCUCUUCCGCCACCGUCCCCGGUGUACAAGCCCCCUCCAGUUCCCGUAAACCCACCUGUUCCAAUCUAUAAACCUCCACCAGUUCCAGUCUAUAAACCUCCUCCAGUUCCAGUAAAACCACUUCCUCCACCUGUUCCAAUCUACAAACCUCCACCAGUUGAAAAACCACAUCCUCCACCUGUUCCAGUCUAUAAACCUCCACCAGUUCCAGUAUACAAGAAACCAUGUCCUCCACCAGUUCCAGUCUAUAAAUCUCCUCCGGUUCCAGUAUACAAGAAACCGCAUCCUCCUCCAGUUCCAGUCUAUAAGAAACCACAUCCACCUCCAGUUCCAGUAUACAAGAAACCAUGUCCUCCCCCAGUUCCAGUCUAUAAAU